CUAUGCUGUGAGACUGGGAUUUGGGGAGUUUGGAGGCUGUUUUGUUCUGAGCCAUUCUAAAGCAAUUUUUGGCGGGUCCAGCAUCGAUAAUCUAUUUUAUACAGAGUUGUUUAUUUGUUUUAAGGGCAUAAGCCAAAUGUGAGGUUAUAGUUCACAAUAAGACGACCAACACAGUUUUAAAUUCCAUGAUUGUAUUGUGUGGGUUUGGUUAGAAGCAGUUUAGUUUAGCACAUCACUGUUCUGAAUGAUUUAGUCACGUAUACAUGCUACCUGUAGUCACACCUGGGUCAAAUCUGUUUGGUCUCUUCGACCAAAAAGGGUCAGAUGCAGAUUGGGACCCCUUCACACUGAACUUAAACCCUUUUGUGCUUUCUAUGACAUUCGCAGUCUAUAAGAAUGUGGUUGGAUUGUUGCACAUUUAGAAAAUCUCCUCAAAUGUGAGGGCAAUCAUGACUGCACUACACUUGUUAUACUCAUCAAAUGUCCCCCACCCCCCCACCACCUGCUAUUUUGUUCAAUCCCCAUGAGCUUUCCUGCAUACUCACUAUAAUUCAAAUGUCAACAACCUUUUCUAAUGAUCAAGUAUGCUUAAGAUCCAAUCCUUUCACAACUUCUUUAAAAUGUAUGAGGAUGCAGCUACAUGAGAUCCUACAGCCUUCAUGUGGAUAAUGUAGUUGGGUUGUACCCGAGGCCAGAGGGUCACUAAGCCAUUAGCCAUGCUAGUGUGCCGUUCUCUCAGAAAUGAUCCACCCAGAAAAUCCUUACACUGCCAGUAUGAUAGACCACCACUCCACCUUUCCUCAGUAUGUAUGCUCACACCCCUUUUUAAGUCAUCAUGCCAUAUCAUAUGUAACGGGGAGGCCACAACGUUCAUAAUACAUACCUGAAGACCCUACAAAACCCAUGUUCUGGCUGAUUUUUACAAUGUGGGAGGGUCUUAAUCCUGUGUUAAGGGGCAUUUAACAAGAGAGUUUUAUUCAACUGAUUUCGUCCGACUAUUGUCUGAACAGGUUCUUAAUGUUUUUAACAGUACUACAAUCAAUGGUUUUAAAGGUGUGGUUCACUCAUUUAAUCAAUACUUUUGAAGUGGUUUCUAGUAGAAAUGAAUGCCUUGUAAAAGAAGAAAAAGAAGAAGAAGAAAAUAUCAUUUCUAUAGCUCCUCUCAAGAUAAAAAUCACGAGUCGCUUCACAAAAACAAAAAAUGUAAAAAUAUAAAAAAUUAUUUAUAAAAUGGUAAAAAUUAUUUUUAAAAUGAGCAAAAAAAAAAAGACAAUUGUGCUACAAAAAUUUAAAGAAAGAGAGAGAGUGAAAAGGAAAGAGGGAGAUCAGUGGAUCCUGAGGAAGGUGGAAUAGGUGGGGAGAGCAGAAUAAAGAGAGAGAGUGGUGAAGAAGGUCAUACAAAAGCCAGCUUGAACAAGUGAGUCUUCAGCUUCUUUUUAAAGGAGACCACUGAGUCCACUGAUCUCAGGCUCAGGGGGAGAGAGUUCCAGAGUCUGGGGGCCACAGCAGCAAAUGAUCUGUCACCUUUGGUCUUUAGCCUGCUGCUGCACAACCAGUAGGCUUUGAUCACUGGACCUCAGGGACCUGCUGGGGGUGUAGGGACUAAGAAGAUCACCAAUGUAAGAUGGUGCUUGUCCAUGUAAGGCCCUAUAGACCAGAACCAGGAUCUUGAAAUGAACCCUGAAGUUGACUAGCAGCCAGUGACGCUAGAGGAGAAGCGGGGUGAUGUGGGUGUGUUUGGAGGACUUGGUCAGAAGCCGAGCACGGCAUUCUGAACCACCUGCAGAUGGUUCAGGGAGGUUCUGCUCAGACACGUGAAAAGAGAGUUACAGUAGUCUAAGCAUGAGGAGAUGAAGGUGUGGAGAACUGUCUCAAGUUCAGAGCGGGACAGAAUGGGACUCAGCUUAGCAAUGUUCUUGAGAUGGAAGAAGGAAGAGCAAACAAGAGAACUGACAUGAGAAUCCAGGGUGAGAGUUGGGUCAAAGGUCACGCCAAGAUUCAUGAUGGAAGGUUUGGUGUGAGAAGCAAGCUGACCGAGAGUCUCUGACUUUGGGAACCAGCUUGUCUGGGGCACAGAUGAGGAUCUCAGUCUUGUCUUUUCCUCCGACGUUUUAUCGUACCGGAUAAAUAUCACUGGAGGUGCCCUGGUUGGAAUUGUCAUUUGGCUCCGGGCCAGGGCACCACUCAGAUAAACAAACAGGGAGGUACGUCCCCGGUGCAUCAUGAGCGAUUG
Non-coding RNA from Nothobranchius furzeri (turquoise killifish), 2233 nucleotides. NCBI's taxonomy places the organism in Eukaryota, Metazoa, Chordata, Actinopteri, Cyprinodontiformes, Nothobranchiidae. The record is from RefSeq and is a predicted model, not a curated record.